Molecule: non-coding RNA, 1324 nt
Organism: Nelumbo nucifera (sacred lotus)
Lineage: Eukaryota; Viridiplantae; Streptophyta; Magnoliopsida; Proteales; Nelumbonaceae
Source: RefSeq, a predicted model, not a curated record
UAAUUUCUUAAAGCAAAUAUAGAUUUUUUGCAAAGUGCAAUUUAACUGGCACAGUAAAGUAUAACAGGAAUAGAAAGAGAAACUUGAUAAACAAGAAUAAUUUUUUCAUUACUUUCCAAUAUUGCUUAGGAUCUAUAAUACUAUUAAUCCCAAUUUUAUUUCCUAUGUUUUAUGGAUCACGUCUGCAGAAAGGUAGAUUCUCUAUGUGGAUAUUUGAACAAUAGAAAAAUGUAAUUUCUACACAGUGGAAUGAUGGAACAAGAUUCAAGUAGCCAACCCCAUAUAGUUGUGCCAAGACAUAGUUGAGUUGAGCUGAAUUUCUACAUUGGUCUUGUAUAUAUGGUAGCACACAAUCUUGAAUUGGUGAGGCAGACAAGAUUUACAUGGUUCAACUCAUGGUUUCAAAAAGGCUGCAGAGGCAAGGGGCGAGGCGGACCAAAAAGGCCUGGCCUUGGUAGCCUUUUCCCCAAUAGCUAAGGCUUAGGCCUUGAGAUGGUAGAGGCGUAAGCCUUUUUGUCUUCAGCCUCAGCAUCGUUGAGGCCUACGCUCCAAAUUUUAAGGUUGUCAAUGAUGAAUAAUUAUAUUUUUACAGGGGUAAAUUUGAGAUUAAAGAAAAAUAAACAAAUCCAAAAGCUUAGGGCACAUUUUUCUAUGUUACUUUUGAAUUAGAGUAGAAUUGUAGAAACUGAAGAGUCGGAGACGAGAGAAGAAACUGACUACUGUCAAUAGACUAGAAGAUGAACCAGUGUUAAGGGUGAGGCUGUACUAGUGCACCAAAAACAAUUAAGAAAGCAGCAAAGAUCGACAGAGUUAAGGGUCAGACUAAAACGAACCACUAGGUGACUCCCAAGCACACAUCUGUGUAGGCAUAUUGAACAUUUGUUACAGUUGUUUUGUCUAAACAAACAUGUUGACAUCAAUUACAUUUUCCUCCUAUUCACAGAAAAUGGUGUCAAUCUGUGGCAAGACCAAUUAGAAGAAGGCAAGUAUGUAAGUCCGCAUAGUCCUUCCAGUUUCUUACAAUUUCAUUUUGGCGACCAAAAUUUUCUUCACAUGAGCAAAAUGUAAGCACAUAAGGUCAAACUUAUUCCACCAUCAAUGAGUUCCGUAUGAGAAUUAAUCAGUUUUUUUCUCUUGCAAAUUUAGGUAUUAAUUCAAAUGUAAACUUCCACCGAGAAUUUCCGAUGCAGAUAUGGCUGUAUAGGCAGGUGCCUUGUGCACCAUUCUCCUUGGGACACAGGAGAUGACAUACCCGAAUUAGAUGCUUGAGCUCUGCAAUCAAGAAAUUUGAGGUUGGUGGCAUCUGGAUACCUCUUUGAAUUGG